UCGUUCAAGACUCUACGUCCUCAGACACCACAGACUAGAACAUAGACACUGCUCAAAAAUAAGUCCACUUCCAUCUUGAAGAUUCUGAAGUGCACAUUGAGAAAGAGCCACUGGAGCAAUAUAUGGUUGUGCGUUACAGCUCUAAUGCCCAAAUGCAUAGUGACGCAGUGAAUUUCUCUGUUGUUCUUGAGGACGAACUGGUCACCACCCACAACCAACUUCCAGAUGUUUUUCUUGUCCUGUUUGGAUUCCUGUAUGCUUUUCACGUACAUAUUCCUAAAGGACUUGCAAAAACAUUGGUAUUUGUGCAAAAAACUUUUGCUUGGCAUGGAAGAUGGGGAAACUGUCUCCUAGCCUGCAAACCUUAAAGAACGAGUUGAUGUGAAGCAUAACUUGUACUACCUCAGCACACACAAAAGACAAAAAGAGUUACUUAAAUGUUAUCUAACUGAUGUUACUUUGAUUUUUGCACUUGUAUUUACUUAGUUCUUAUUGACAAGUUAUUGUAUUAACAAACCGGUUCAGUUUAAGAAAUUGUCAUGUUUAAUGGAACUGUGUGGUGUUAAUAUAUGAAGUUGGCUGUUUAGCAUUCCUUGCUCAUUUCUCAUUUUAUAAAAUGCUGUUAAACAGUUUGAGCCUGUUAAAAGGUAUGUUGUGUUGCUAAGAGAAUUUAAUUUUUGACUGAAAAAUAUGAAAUGCUGUUAAACAGUUAUGUUACCUUGAACCCAUUAAAAGGGUAACUUUACUUUUGUGGGUUGCUUAACAGACUUUAAUUUUUGACUGCAGAUUGUAUCACAUUUGUAAAUUUAAGAGAGAUGUUUAAUGCAACUGUCUCAUGCUAGUUUAAAUGUAUGAAAUUUGCUGUGGAGCAAUCCUUUUGUGAAAUAAAUUGCCAAAAUUU
Non-coding RNA from Paramisgurnus dabryanus, 901 nucleotides. The record is from RefSeq and is a predicted model, not a curated record. NCBI's taxonomy places the organism in Eukaryota, Metazoa, Chordata, Actinopteri, Cypriniformes, Cobitidae.